Molecule: ribosomal RNA, 253 nt
Filed under: uncultured bacterium
Lineage: Bacteria
Description: partial 16S ribosomal RNA
Rfam family: Bacterial small subunit ribosomal RNA
Source: RNAcentral
UACGGAGGGAGCAAGCGUUACUCAGAAUUAUUGGGCGUAAAGGGCGCGUAGGCGAUUUGACAAGUCUUGUGUGAAAGCCCAGAGCUUAACUUUGGAAGUGCAUAAGAAACUGUUGAAUUUGAGUAUAGGAGAGGAAGGCAGAAUUCCCGGUGUAGCGGUGAAAUGCGUAGAUAUCGGGAGGAAUACCAGUGGCGAAGGCGGCCUUCUGGACUAUAACUGACGCUGAGGCGCGAAAGCUAGGGGAGCAAACGGG